RNAcentral lists this ribosomal RNA (1260 nucleotides) under Triticum aestivum (bread wheat). RNAcentral's name for it is "partial small subunit ribosomal RNA". Lineage: Eukaryota; Viridiplantae; Streptophyta; Magnoliopsida; Poales; Poaceae. The record is from RNAcentral.
AUGGAAAGUGCGAGGAGCUGCCUCAUGGACGACGUGAGCAGCGGCGCGUCCACUGGCAAUAAGGCGUCUGGGGUGCCGGCCGCGCCGGCGACCAAGCCGCUGCGGCGCGUGGGCAGCGGGGCCAGCGCGGUCAUGGACGCGCCGGAGCCCGGCGCCGAGGCGGACUCCGGCCGCGGCGGGCGGCUGCCGUCGUCCAAGUACAAGGGCGUGGUGCCGCAGCCCAACGGGCGCUGGGGCGCGCAGAUCUACGAGCGCCACCAGCGCGUCUGGCUCGGCACGUUCACGGGGGAGGCCGAGGCGGCCCGCGCCUACGACGCGGCGGCGCAGAGGUUCCGGGGCCGCGACGCCGUCACCAACUUCCGCCCGCUCGUCGAGUCCGACGCGGACGACGCCGCCGAGCUCCGCUUCCUCGCCGCCCGCUCCAAGGCCGAGGUCGUCGACAUGCUGCGCAAGCACAUCUACCCCGACGAGCUCGCGCAGCACAAGCGCGCCUUCUUCGCCUCCGCGGCCGCCGCGGCGUCGUCCCCUACGUCAUCGUCGUCACCUCCCUACUCGUGGGCACCUUCAACCGCGGCGGGGCGGCGCGAGCACCUGUUCGACAAGACGGUCACGCCCAGCGACGUGGGGAAGCUGAACCGGCUGGUGAUCCCGAAGCAGCACGCUGAGAAGCACUUCCCUCUCCAGCUCCCUUCGGCCGGCACAGCCGUGUCCGGCGAGUGCAAGGGCGUGCUGCUCAACUUCGACGACGCGGCCGGCAAGGUGUGGAGGUUCCGGUACUCGUACUGGAACAGCAGCCAGAGCUACGUGCUCACAAAGGGGUGGAGCCGCUUCGUCAAGGAAAAGGGCCUGCACGCGGGCGACGCGGUCGGGUUCUACCGCUCCGUCUCCGGCAACAACCAGCUCUUUAUCGACUGCAAGCUCCGGUCCAUGACGACGACGACGACCUUCGUCAACGCGACGGCGGCCACCACGUCGCCGGCACCCGUGAUGAGGACCGUGCGUCUCUUCGGCGUCGACCUUCUCACGGCGCCGGCGCCGAGGCACGCGCCAGAGCACGAGGACUACGGCUUGGCCAAGACAAACAAGAGAUCCGUGUCCGUGGACGCCAGCGUAGCGGCGGCCAUUCCGGCGCACGCGGUCUGGAAGAAGCGGUGCGUAGACUUCUCGCUGACCUAUAGACUUACCACCACCCCACAGUGCCCGCGGUCUGGAAGAAGAGAUGAACUAGUACAAGCAGCUGGGAGUACAUUUGCUCUAUAG